This is a long non-coding RNA of Cervus elaphus (red deer), 151 nucleotides long. RefSeq lists it as uncharacterized. The record is from RefSeq and is a predicted model, not a curated record. NCBI's taxonomy places the organism in Eukaryota, Metazoa, Chordata, Mammalia, Artiodactyla, Cervidae. The transcript has 3 exons.
UGACAUCUUUCAGAUACUUGGUGGCUUUUCGAAUAUGCAUACCCUUUAUGGCCUGGGCAGUUUCACGAGUAUUCUUAAAGCGAACACGAAGAUUUGAACCUCUUGAUUUGCAUGAUUUUGUGGGGUUUUCUGGUAAGUGGUCUGAGCUGAC